UACAGAGGUCCCGAGCGUUGUUCGGAUUCAUUGGGCGUAAAGGGUGCGUAGGCGGCCUGUUAAGUUUGAUGUGAAAUCCCCGGGCUUAACCUGGGAACUGCAUUGGUGACUGCAAGGCUUGAGUGUGUCAGAGGGAGGUGGAAUUCCGCGUGUAGCAGUGAAAUGCGUAGAUAUGCGGAGGAACACCGAUGGCGAAGGCAGCCUCCUGGGAUAACACUGACGCUCAUGCACGAAAGCGUGGGGAGCAAACAGG
RNAcentral lists this ribosomal RNA (253 nucleotides) under uncultured bacterium. Its description in RNAcentral is "partial 16S ribosomal RNA". It matches the Rfam family "Bacterial small subunit ribosomal RNA", at positions 524 to 776 of the family's 1533-position model. The record is from RNAcentral.